This 433-nucleotide ribosomal RNA is filed under the name uncultured bacterium. RNAcentral describes it as "partial 16S ribosomal RNA". It matches the Rfam family "Bacterial small subunit ribosomal RNA", at positions 29 to 507 of the family's 1533-position model. The record is from RNAcentral.
AACGAACGCUGGCGGCAUGCCUAACACAUGCAAGUCGAACGAUGCCUUCGGGCAUAGUGGCGCACGGGUGCGUAACGCGUGGGAAUCUGCCUUUCGGUUCGGAAUAACUCAGGGAAACUUGAGCUAAUACCGGAUAACGUCGCAAGACCAAAGAUUUAUCACCGAAAGAUGAGCCCGCGUAGGAUUAGCUAGUUGGUGAGGUAAAGGCUCACCAAGGCGACGAUCCUUAGCUGGUCUGAGAGGAUGAUCAGCCACACUGGGACUGAGACACGGCCCAGACUCCUACGGGAGGCAGCAGUGGGGAAUACUGGACAAUGGGCGAAAGCCUGAUCCAGCAAUGCCGCGUGAGUGAUGAAGGCCUUAGGGUUGUAAAGCUCUUUUACCCGGGAAGAUAAUGACGGUACCGGGAGAAUAAGCCCCGGCUAACUCCGUG